This 1288-nucleotide long non-coding RNA is filed under the name Monodelphis domestica (gray short-tailed opossum). RNAcentral describes it as "lncRNA (ENSMODG00000046867.1)". The record is from RNAcentral. Lineage: Eukaryota; Metazoa; Chordata; Mammalia; Didelphimorphia; Didelphidae.
CAGAGGGGCUGACACACCCUCCUCUCCACCGCCGGCUUGGCCCUAGCUGCCCGGGGUUCUCUCAGCAGAUUCCCGAGGCCCGGGCUCGCCGCACGUCCACGCCAGGCCGCGCCCCUCUCUGGCGCGGUCCUGGCGGGCUUUACCUGGGUCUUGUACCCCCGUCCUCCUUGGUUCCGCGGCCCUCCGGGGAGUUGCCGGGCACGGUGGCCCCACAGGGACAAGGCACGAGUGGGCGCGGGGCCGGGGCGGGGCGGCACUGAGCAGGGUGGAGCUCCCCCCUCUUCCUGGCCCCUCCCCCCGCCCUCGGCCCUGGGCUCGGGAGCCCCACACAGCGCGCGGACGCUGGCCCGGGGCCGGCCUGUCCAGCUUCGGACAUCUAUCAGCCGAGGGCCCCCAGAGCGAGUCCCGAAAUGUGUGUGCCUGCUGGGGACCACUCCAUACAUUGGCUCUAUUGACAAAUGGAUCUCUCCGUGCCCAUUGCGUGCCUCUCCUCUUGGCCAAGAAGCGGGAGGCAGGCUUCGUCCUCGUUAUUGUGGAGCCCGACGUGGUCAUGCCAUGGAUCCUGAUUCCGGGAGUCUUCCUGGCUGUUUUCCUUUGGAGUGUUUCCACAUUGUUCUGGUUCUGCUCACGUCUCUACGUCAGUUCAUACAGCACCUCCCAGACUUCUCGGAAGCUGUCUUGGUCAUCUUCCUCACAGACCUGCGAUACUCCAUCAAAACACGCCCUGUGCUGCGUUCAGCCAUUCCCCAACGGCUUGGCACCCCCUUUGUUUCCAGUUUCUGCCACCACAAAGUGUCCGUACAGACGAUUCCUUUUUCUCUUUCUUGGAUCUUUGCGGUCGAGGUCUAGAAGUGCUGUGGCUGAGGGCACACACAGCUCCAAUCGCUUUCCAGAAUGGUGGAGCAAACACGAGCGCCACCAACAAGGCCUUUGUAUUACUGGGUUCCUGCAAUCUGUCCAACGCUUACUUGCCGUCUUUGCCGAUCUGGUAGGUGCUGAGCUUCUCCUUUCAGAGCUCCCUCAGGAACAGGCAGGGAGAAUACAGCUUGUACCUGAUAUUCUGCCAACAUCGCCAUGCCAUCUAUGGAUGGCAAGAAACAAAGCAAGUCCAGAACAACAACCGUUUGAGAACACAGAGCAUAUAUCCCUCCUGACUUUCCUCCAAGGGGAUGGAAUCAUCUUACAGACAGGAUCUCAUUUGUGGUCACUGCAUUCUCUUGAGGUAGGCAGCAAGUCACUAUUAUCAAGAAAACAAGAUUUGAGAUUUCACAGUAGCAGUGAGAGCUGA